GCUCACUGCUGCCUCAAACUCCUAGACUCAAGCAAUCCUCCUGCUUCAGCCUCCCGAGUAGCUGGGACUACAGGUAGAUGAUGGGCUCCACGGGAACAGAGCAAACGUUCGCUCCUGCUCCUACACGGUGUUUCCUCUAAACCUGAGGCUCAGCCGACUUGUCAUCACUUAAAACCCAAUUCAGAGCGGGGGGGCACUGCCAGUGAAUAGUUCAUCACCGACUCAGUUUCCCCAUGUGUAUGCUGUGGUAUUGGAUCAGCAACGAGAUAAGAAGAUCUCUCCCAUUUCCAAGCGUCUAUGAUGAUUCUGAGGCACAAGGUCACAUUUGACAGUACUAGGAAACCCAGGAAACAAGAAGCAAAGAUGACAAAGGCUGUGUCUGCCUGGGCAGACGAUCUAUUUGGACAAGAUAAUAGACCCAGGCAUGGACAUGCUCUCCAAGAAAGAUGCCCUGACAGCUGCUCACACUGAAGCUGAAUCGAACAUUCCAAUCCUUAGAGGUUCCAGCGAAGAUCUUGAAGUCUCCCUGAGCCAUUGACACAAUGGCCAUGCCAUCCCAGUGAUAAAACACAAAUUGUGGCCUUGUUUUGGACAGAAAUAAAGAGCCCAGUUUGUUAGUGAUUUACUGAU
Molecule: long non-coding RNA, 630 nt
Filed under: Homo sapiens (human)
Lineage: Eukaryota; Metazoa; Chordata; Mammalia; Primates; Hominidae
Description: non-protein coding TMEM44-AS1:10
Source: RNAcentral